Molecule: long non-coding RNA, 1139 nt
Filed under: Marmota monax (woodchuck)
Lineage: Eukaryota; Metazoa; Chordata; Mammalia; Rodentia; Sciuridae
Source: RNAcentral
UCUGUAUUUCAGCUGGAACUCACAUCACAGCUGCUCUGUUUACUUACCUACCGGCUGCGUGUCUCAGAACCAGUUUUGUUCCUCUUGAAAAGGAAGCCAGGCAGAGUUGGGAAAAUAUUUUCUUAGCCAGCUCCUUAGCACCGCUGUCUUAGGGAGACCAUCUGGCCAAGAUGCCCUUCAAGUAAGUAAACGCAGCACCACCCUCUCCCUGCCGGAGGAGGCUGCAGGGAGAAGAUGCAGGCUCCUGAGUGGACCGAGGCCGCGGCCUGUUAACCCACUUCCCUGAGCCCCUGGAGUCUGACAGUGCCCUCUGUGGGAAUAGGGUGGGGUGCUGAUUUCCAAGAUGAAGUCACUGACCCCAGAGUUAGGAAGAGAUGGGCAGUCGCUCUCCAUUCUAUACGAUUUUAACCAGGGGCCAUAAGCUGAAGAGCACAGAUACUAAUAAACUGUCGUGCACAUAACUAACAAGCGAUGAGUUUUGAGUAUUCAUGAACCUUUGUUUUUAUUGUGAGGUAAUGGUAAGUUUAUAUAAUUUAAUGUCAAAUGAUGUAUGCCUUUAACAGCCAGUUCACAAAGUUCUGGAAAAAUUUUAACAGUCAGCUCUUGUGAGCCAGCAUGGGCUGGUUCCAGAGCUCCAUGGCCACAGUCCCUCUUUUACUUAGAGUCAAAGAACGAAUGUGUCCAUAUGAAACCACUCCCUUCCGAAGCCAAAGCCACAUCACUACGGGAGGUUUAGAGAGGGCUCCAUUUCUUAAGGAGAGUCUGUCUUCAGAAGGCAGAGUGGACACCUGCUCAGGCAGGAACAGAGGUUGAAAAAUACUGUGCGUUUUUGUGGUUCUACCAACCACGUGUCCUUGACGGGAAUAGCUGGACACACAGGUGAGCAGGUCCCAUCUGGCCAGGCAGCUCCGAACUGUGUAAACUUCAGUUUAUAGUCAAAAUAACUUGAGAAUGUCUAGCUCUUCCCCAUUGACACCACUGUGCUUAAGAAGAGUGGCAAUUCUGGAGUCUCAGGCUCUCAGCUCUUUGCCAUAUUAGCUGGAAGGUUCUAGAAGGUCUGUGACUGUAAGAUUUUCCCUGAUUUUCUGAACUCUACCUGAUGGAAUUGGGAUACUUCUUGCUUCCCCAAAAGCCCUCUC